RNAcentral lists this transfer RNA (86 nucleotides) under Chloroflexota bacterium. RNAcentral describes it as "Chloroflexi bacterium tRNA-Ser". It matches the Rfam family "tRNA". From Rfam's summary of the family: Transfer RNA (tRNA) molecules are approximately 80 nucleotides in length. Their secondary structure includes four short double-helical elements and three loops (D, anti-codon, and T loops). The record is from RNAcentral. Lineage: Bacteria; Bacillati; Chloroflexota.
GGAGAGGUGGCCGAGUGGUUGAAGGCGCCGUUCUCGAAAAGCGGUAAUCCCUCUGGGAUUCGCGGGUUCGAAUCCCGCCCUCUCCG